GUGCAGCAGUCGAGAAUCGUUCACAAUGGGCGCAAGCCUGAUGGCGCGACGCCGCGUGUGGGAUGGAGGCCUUCGGGUUGUAAACCACUGUCACAGGGGAAGAAAGGCACGGAUGCUAACAUCGUCCGUGUUUGACGUUACCCGUGAGAGGAAGCCACGGCUAACUCCGUGCCAGCAGCCGCGGUAAUACGGAGGUGGCAAGCGUUGUUCGGAAUUACUGGGCGUAAAGGGUGCGCAGGCGGUCUGUUGUGGUUCGAUGUGAAAUCCCCCGGCUCACCCGGGGAACUGCAUCGAAAACUGACAGACUUGAGUGCAGGAGAGGAGAGCGGAAUUUCCGGUGUAGCGGUGAAAUGCGUAGA
Molecule: ribosomal RNA, 359 nt
Filed under: uncultured microorganism
Description: bacterial SSU rRNA
Rfam family: Bacterial small subunit ribosomal RNA
Source: RNAcentral